AGCAGCCGCGGUAAUUCCAGCUCCAAUAGCGUAUAUUAAAGUUGUUGCAGUUAAAAAGCUCGUAGUUGAAUUUUGGAUUCUUCCAAUUGGUCCAUCUUUUAGAUGAGUACUGGUUGUGUGGGGUCUAUCCGCCUGGUGAUACGUAAUGUCCUUUAUUGGAUGUUGCGGGUAGUCAGGACCUUUACCUUGAAAAAAUUAGAGUGUUUAAAGCAGGCUUAUGCCGGAAUACAUUAGCAUGGAAUAAUAGAAUAGGACGAAGUUGCUUUAUUUUGUUGGUUUCUAGGACAACCGUAAUGAUUAAUAGGGAUAGUUGGGGGCAUUAGUAUUCAAUUGUCAGAGGUGAAAUUCUUGGAUUUAUUGAAGACUAACUACUGCGAAAGCAUUUGCCAAGGAUGUUUUCAUUAAUCAAGAACGAAAGUUAGGGGAUCGAAGACGAUCAGAUACCGUCGUAGUCUUAACCAUAAACUAUGCGACUAGGGAUCGGGCGAUGUUGUUUCCAUGACUCG
This 506-nucleotide ribosomal RNA is filed under the name uncultured Archaeosporaceae. RNAcentral describes it as "SSU rRNA". It matches the Rfam family "Eukaryotic small subunit ribosomal RNA", at positions 569 to 1078 of the family's 1831-position model. The record is from RNAcentral. Lineage: Eukaryota; Fungi; Glomeromycota; Glomeromycetes; Archaeosporales; Archaeosporaceae.